RNAcentral lists this ribosomal RNA (445 nucleotides) under uncultured bacterium. Its description in RNAcentral is "partial 16S ribosomal RNA". It matches the Rfam family "Bacterial small subunit ribosomal RNA", at positions 354 to 796 of the family's 1533-position model. The record is from RNAcentral.
GUAGGGAAUAUUGGGCAAUGGAUGCAAGUCUGACCCAGCCAUCCCGCGUGCCGGAAGAAGGCCCUCAGGGUUGUAAACGGCUUUUGACGGUGAAGAAUCGACAGGAUGCGUCCUGUUUUGACGGUAGCCGUUGAAUAAGCACCGGCUAACUCCGUGCCAGCAGCCGCGGUAAUACGGAGGGUGCGAGCGUUGUCCGGAUGUAUUGGGUUUAAAGGGUGCGUAGGCUGGAAGGUCAGUCAGCGGUGAAAAGCUGUCGCUUAACGAUAGUCGUGCCGCAGAUACUUCCUUUCUUGGAUGAGGAGGAGGCCACUGGAACGGAUGGUGUAGCGGUGAAAUGCAUAGAUAUCAUCCAGAACACCGAUUGCGAAGGCAGGUGGCUGUACCUUAAUCGACGCUGAUGCACGAAAGCAUGGGGAGCAAACAGGAUUAGAUACCCUUGUAGUCC